AGGAGCAGCCCUGUGAUGCCUGGCAGAAGCUUUUUAGUCCUGUUGCCCUUGUUAGCUAAGAACCCCAGGGACGUGGGUGGAAGAGAGGCUUCCCCAGGUUUCCCUGAUGCACCCCAGAUGAGGAUCUGUUCUGGCACCUGCAUAGGCAGCUGUGCAAAUGUGCAGAAGGCAACCUUCCUUAGAAACUGGGAAGACUCUGGGGAAGCAGCCUCUUCCUGGCCUGCCCUGAGGGCCUGGGUCUGCAGCUGCCAGGGGACAUCAGCCAAGUGGAGCACAUGGGCAGCAUAUGUGACCUGACCAUUUCUGCACUUUUCCGCCAGAAGCUGCAUCUCAAGUGCCUACAGGGACCCAGCAGUGUGGCCCAGAAAUGCCAAAAGGUUGGACACCCCGACCAGGAAGCUGAGUUGGAGUAAAACGGUGGCCUGUCAGGCUGGGUUCACAGAGCUAGUCCAUGAGAGGACGUUGAGUACCUGGUGAGGAAGGCAGUCAUCCUUGGCAUGCUGUGUUCAUCCUCUCCGAGGGUCACAAAGGAAGUGGUUUGCUGUUAAGACGGACUGGAUGGUCAUCUGAUCCUUUAUAACAGCUUUAUAUUAGAGUGGAGCCCAUAAGUCUCUGUUGCUGGAGAUGACCUACCACAAGGACCAGGCUCUAAGGGCACUGAUUCAGCCAUCUUUGGUCUUACGAAGAAUCAUGAAUAUUCAUCAGACUUAAAGCGGCAUUAGGAAAAUAAAGCAGGGAAACCACUUCCCCGUCCAGCUGCUGGAACUCUCUCUCCUGUGGUCGUCAUUAGCCUCCUGGAAACAGUGGUCUGCGGUUGCCUCCCAGUCAGCAUUCCCAUGCAGCCUUCAGCCUCCACAGCCCUGAGAAGAUCAGCGGUGAUGGGUGCUCGCCUGUCAAGUAGGAUGCCAGUGUUCAUCAUUCUCUUCCUGUGUGAGAGUGCUCAGUUCUGCUUUGAAUAUGGCACAGCACCUGGCACAUGGCAGGCCUGCCAAGCAUUUGUAAAAGAGGUUUUAGAGAAGCAUGAAACCACAAGUCUUUUUGCUGGCUCUGAUUAGAAGUAAGAGCUUUUAUCCUCCAUAUGGGACUUGCUUGAGAAAAUCCAAUGUGUCCUAGCCAAGUUUAUUUCUUCUUCAUCUGUAAAGUAAUAGGGAGGGUAAUGGCUGCUGCCCAGACCUACCCGUGUGAGCUCAGGAGGGUGAUAAAAAACGAAUCCUGCUGUUGAAGUGUAACAUGUUGACAUAAAGAGUGACAUAUCCUCCCCAUCUCCUGUCAUCUGUCCCUGCAGCCUAGGGCCUGUGGAGGGUGGGGGCAGGAGAUUCGGAGAUCUGACAGAUGGUUAUAGAGAGAAUGCCCCUACAGGAGGUCAGAGUGAAUUAUCCCAAUACAAACAAAACUAAUUAGAAGAUUAGCCAUUUUUUGAACAAGCACACAGGUCAAAUACCGAGCUAAGAAUGUUACAUACCACUUCUUUCUGUAAAGCCACUCUUGUAAGAUGGAUUUUGUGAUUUCCCAUUUCACAUUUGAGGAAACUGAAGCUCAGGGAGUUUAGGUAAUUUACCAAGGGCACAAAGCUAGUUAAGUGGGUUGGGAUACAUAAUCAGAAUACCAGUAAUGAACAUGUGUGUGCCAGGAUCUCUGUGAAGUGUGCUGCUUGGUCCUCACAAGCACCCUAGGAGCUAAGUUAUUGUUGUACCUUCGUUAUCACACGGGAAAUCCUUCUAGUAACCAGCCCGACAUCAGGUAGCUAGUAAGAAACUGUGCCAGUCAGCGAAUUCCAGAAACUGCAUGGCUGUAUUCCCUCUCUGCUUUGCAGGUCUGUUCGAGGUUGCUCUCUCAGCUCAUUUUCUGUUGCCAGCAUCCAUCGAGUACUCUUUCUUUGCUCCUCAAAGUCUAGCCUGCGGACCCGGAGCCUCAGUAUCACCUGGAAGUAUGUUACAAAGAACUGUGAGCUCCACUCCAGCCCCAGGGAAUCAGAAUCUGCUUUGUGAGAGACCAGGUCCUGGUCUAUCCAGCGGGUCUUAACCUUGUCUGCACAUUGAACUCCCCUGGGGAGCCUUAAGGAUUCCUGGUGCCUGGCUUCCACUGUCAGCAUUCUACCUGAAUCGUCUGAGUGUGGUCAGGCUGUUGCGCUUCUAAAAGCUUCCCCAGGGGAUUCUGAUGUGACAUCUGUCCGAAAACCGCUGCCUUAAGCACAUGCAGCAGUUGGUUCCUUCCUUCUCUCCCUCCCGCAUUCACCUUCUGUGCAUCCGACCUCACUGAAACACGCCUUGCUGGGGAGAUGGGCAAACACUGCCAAUAUAGUAGAGUAAGCACUGUGAAACUCAUUAUCCCGAGGGCCAGGGGACAUCCAGGGGCGGGCCUGAUGUCCGAGUCUGCAGGAAGGAAUCAAGGCAGACUGCUCAUAGGAAACCACAUUAAUCUCAAGGAUGGGUAGGAGCUCCUUGGACUUGUUAGAGGGACAGUGAGCUGGUGUGGGUGAUUGUUUACUAGAAAAGUGAGAUUCAUACAGUGGUAAGUUGUAGCAUAUCAUAGAGAUUAUUUAAUGAAUCUGAUGGUUUUUCUAACUUCUUUGAUGAUUGCCCACAUUCAUAGACACAUUUUAUGUGUCAGCCCAGAGUAUAUAUAAAGCUCAUGAAACAAUACCUUUUCUACAUGUGAUAUGUUUUGAUUUUUCUAGUCUCUCAAUUCUCUUUUUUUAGAAAAAAAAUUGCUGGUCAUGCUUAAUGGACCCACUGAUGGAUUACAAGCCACACCAUGAAAGAACUGACUUAAUUCCUUUGAUUUCCUCCUCCGAGGAAAGAAUAGCCCAGAAUAACUAAAUGAUGUGGCCUGAAGAGGAAGGAAAAAUGUGUUCAAAUUCCAAGGUGAAGGGUUGGUGUUAGAAAUAAAGGAAGCCUUCCUGCCGCAUUGGUUGUUGGGUAUUUCAGAAGGAUGUGCCUCUCCUGGAAGUCCCACCCACUUGCUAGGAGGCCAAGGCACAGCCUUGUAGAGAAGGCAGCAUGAUGACUUAAUCAAGGAGGUGGCCAGGUCCUUUAUAGCUCCGCUGAAAUAUUUUGGCUGUAUUAGUACUAGGAGGCAGGAAUUCUCAGUUUAGCUAAGUUUGGGGAGGGGUCAAUGCCACCUGGGAGGCAAGGAGAGGUCCCUUUUAGAAACAUUUAUACCUAUGACUAGUACAUACAACUCCCAGCCAUUCUGAUAUGUACCCUCCCCCCAUUAGGGCUAAAAUUCUAGCUGACAAUAAGCCCUAUUGCUCAGGUUGCUGGCUGUGUAUCCUACCACUCCAGGCAGGGAAAUCAAAGGACAGGACCACUGAUCUCUGGAGCCAUGGUUCCCCUCUUGCAGGUUUUGGAGGCCAAGAAAAAUUCAAAAUGAGCUCAGGGUUCAAUAGCAGAAUGUGAAUUUUUCAUUGUCUGAAGUGACAAAACUAAAGAACUUGAAAUAAACAGAAAAACAAAUCUGCCUAAAUCUAUCAAAAGAGCAGAAAGGACAUAACCUUGAACUGGAGGGAAGUCUUAUAAAUGGAAUACAUUUAGCUUUAGGAUAUUGUAAAGAAAUUUUUUUAUUCUGGUAAAUUACACAUAACAUAAAAUGAUCUUAACCAUUUUAAGGUUUUCAGCGUUGUUCAUUACAUUCCACCGCUGUGCAAUUGAUCUCCAGAAUUCCUUCCACCCCGCACAACUGAAACUCUGUCCCCAUUAACAACAUCUCACCAGUUCCCUCUGCCCCCAGUCCCCAGCACCCAUGACCCUACUUCCUGUCUCUAUGAAUUGGACUUCUCUAGGUCCCUCCAUAAGUAGAACUGGAUGGUGUUUGUCUUUUUUGUGGCUGGCUUAUUUCACUUAGCAUAAUGUCUUCAAGAUUCACCCAUGUUUUAGUACGUCAGAAUUGCCUUCCUUUCUAAGUCUGGUUAACAUUCCAGUGUACGACAGGCCACAUUCUGUUUACCCACUCACCUGUUCACAGACACAGGUCGCUUCCACCCUUUGACCGUUGUAAAUAACGCUGCUGGGAACAUGGGCAUGCGCAUGUGUGUUUGAGUCUCUGCUUUUGAUGCUCUUGGGUCCGUACCAGAGGUGCGGUUGCUGCAUCACGUGGUCAUUUUGUGCUUAAUUUAUUGAGGAACCAUCGUGCUGUUAAUAGACAUUUAGCUUUUCACAGAUCAGAAAGCAAUGUUGCCUUGUCCUCAUUUUUCUGGUUUCACUGUGAACACUUCCGCACAGACUGGCAUGGGUCUGCAGAUCUGUGCCUGGAAUUACGGUCCUGACAGAAGCAAACUUCGUCCUGAGGCUCUUCGCUCUUCACACGAGGAAGUCUGGAUUCUUUAUGUGUGGCCUGCGAAGAAAGAUAAUUAUUUUAAAUCAUAAAAUAUUCAUUAAGCAGUUUGGAAAAUUAUACAAAAGCCAUUAGCUUGAUUGCACUAAAUAGGAAAAACAAGACAGUUUCUGUUCUUCAGAUGAUCAAGCCAUUGCCAUUUCAAGUCUGGCUGUGGGUCACUCUCACUGCAGGACUGUGAACAGAGGGGACAAGGACCGACAUGGGUUUCCCCUGGAUGGGGCCAAGUUGACUGAAAUUCUCGAGGAGACGGCCCAGUUCCCAAAACUCUAGUCUCUCCAAAGGCCCUGUGCCUUGAGCUAGGGAAAAUUUUCUGCUUAGUGGGGCUUAAAAAUUUUUUUAAGGUGUACGUUUUAAAUUCUUUGUGGACACCAGAAGAAACUCUUUUGUUCCUGGAACUCCUGAGCUAUUAUCAAAUAACUUUAACUCAGUAGAAACAAAAUCCUGCUGUAUUAUAAAAUGGAAUUCUAAUU
Long non-coding RNA from Artibeus jamaicensis (Jamaican fruit-eating bat), 4805 nucleotides. RefSeq lists it as uncharacterized. The transcript has 7 exons. Lineage: Eukaryota; Metazoa; Chordata; Mammalia; Chiroptera; Phyllostomidae. The record is from RefSeq and is a predicted model, not a curated record.